Molecule: unclassified non-coding RNA, 271 nt
Filed under: fungal sp.
Lineage: Eukaryota; Fungi
Description: partial internal transcribed spacer region
Rfam family: Eukaryotic small subunit ribosomal RNA (bases 1-46)
Source: RNAcentral
AAGUCGUAACAAGGUCUCCGUAGGUGAACCUGCGGAGGGAUCAUUAACACGUUUUUUAAACGUUUUUCAACCAAAAAACCGGAAACGAAAAAGUGUUGAAAAGGCAACAAUGGCAUUCAUUUGCCCUGUUUUCUUUUCCCUUUUUUUCUUCUCAACCCUUUUCCAAUCAUAACAAUGAAUUGACCUGUACUAUCAUUCCUCUUCACAGAGUGAAUGAAAGUUGAUAUCAUAAUUGAGAGCACAACUCUUAGCAACGGAUAUCUUGGUUCUC